AGUGAAUAGAUACCCGGUAGUCCACGCCGUAAACGAUGCACACUGAACGUCGGAGGCUCUGACGCUGCCGGCGUUGUAAGGAAAACUGCUAAGUGUGCCGCCUGGGGAGUACGGCCGCAAGGCUAAAAACUCAAAGGAAUUGACGGGGGCUCACACAAGCGGUGGAGCAUGUGGCUUAAUUCGAAGCAACGCGAAGAACCUUACCCGGGUUUGACAUGCUUGGAUGCAAAUCGGUAAUGCGAGGCGCUACCCUUCGGGGUGAAACAAGCACAGGUGUUGCAUGGCUGUCGUCAGCUCGUGCUGUGAAGUGUCGGG
This 315-nucleotide ribosomal RNA is filed under the name uncultured bacterium. Its description in RNAcentral is "bacterial SSU rRNA". It matches the Rfam family "Bacterial small subunit ribosomal RNA", at positions 773 to 1079 of the family's 1533-position model. The record is from RNAcentral.